GCUGCUAUGAAUGUUUCAGUGCCGAGA
This 27-nucleotide small RNA is filed under the name Bombyx mori (domestic silkworm). RNAcentral describes it as "ovarian small RNA-17129". The record is from RNAcentral. Lineage: Eukaryota; Metazoa; Arthropoda; Insecta; Lepidoptera; Bombycidae.